RNAcentral lists this ribosomal RNA (355 nucleotides) under uncultured bacterium. Its description in RNAcentral is "bacterial SSU rRNA". It matches the Rfam family "Bacterial small subunit ribosomal RNA", at positions 527 to 881 of the family's 1533-position model. The record is from RNAcentral.
GUAGGUUGCAAGCGUUGUCCGGAUUUACUGGGUGUAAAGGGCGUGUAGGCGGAGAUGCAAGUCGGGAGUGAAAUCCAUGGGCUCAACCCAUGAACUGCUUUCGAAACUGUAUCCCUUGAGUAUCGGAGAGGCAAGCGGAAUUCCUAGUGUAGCGGUGAAAUGCGUAGAUAUUAGGAGGAACACCAGUGGCGAAGGCGGCUUGCUGGACGACAACUGACGCUGAGGCGCGAAAGCGUGGGGAGCAAACAGGAUUAGAUACCCUGGUAGUCCACGCUGUAAACGAUGAAUACUAGGUGUGGGAGGACUGACCCCUUCCGUGCCGCAGUUAACACAAUAAGUAUUCCACCUGGGGAGU